Molecule: long non-coding RNA, 689 nt
Organism: Piliocolobus tephrosceles (Ugandan red Colobus)
Lineage: Eukaryota; Metazoa; Chordata; Mammalia; Primates; Cercopithecidae
Exons: 3
Source: RefSeq, a predicted model, not a curated record
AAGACCCCUGUGGAGAAAGCAGAAGAUGAAGCCCGCAGAGGAGAGAACAGAUGUUUUAUCCCUGAGUGAGUCCCUGAUCACAGCACUCACAUGAAGGGACGGUCAGCAGCAGGAGUGUGGAGCAAAGCGUGUCCAUGGCUGGUAUCACCCUCCCUAAAGACUAUUCAAGUCAGGGAGACCCAGUAAGGUCUCUGCUGUGAGUGUGAUUGGAGAAGAUUCAACAGGUCCCACCGAGCUUCUACACGUCUCCAAUUCUGGCGACCAUGGUUCAGUGCUUCUCAUCUCUGAAAGCAGUCCUAACCUUUCUGUGCACCUCCCUCUGGGAUUGACUCUGAUCAGUGAGUCCUGAGCGCCCCCUGCAGCUAAUUUGCCCACGUGUCCCUGGAGGUUUGUGUCUGUGCUCACACUGGCCUUUCCUCAUGCACUCUGUUGUGCAGUAAUAUAGUGACGUGUUCCUGGUUUGCAGAUUGCGCAUUUGCAGAUACAGCAUCUUCUUGACAUUGUUUGUGGAGAUGAUAAAUCAAAGAAAAAUAAAUACUUUUAGGACAAAUAAAUCCUGAGAAAAUCUAUUCCCAGCACAAUAAUCUUUCCACAGACAUUUUAGCAGAGUUUCUAGGUGAGUAGCCAUAUGAUAUACAUCCAUUACCUGAAUCUAUCCAAAAAAAUAAAGAUUGUCAACAAUGGAAAAA